GAUGAACGCUGGCGGCGUGCCUAAUACAUGCAAGUCGAGCGAACAGACGAGGAGCUUGCUCCUCUGACGUUAGCGGCGGACGGGUGAGUAACACGUGGAUAACCUACCUAUAAGACUGGGAUAACUUCGGGAAACCGGAGCUAAUACCGGAUAAUAUAUUGAACCGCAUGGUUCAAUAGUGAAAGACGGUUUUGCUGUCACUUAUAGAUGGAUCCGCGCCGCAUUAGCUAGUUGGUAAGGUAACGGCUUACCAAGGCAACGAUGCGUAGCCGACCUGAGAGGGUGAUCGGCCACACUGGAACUGAGACACGGUCCAGACGCCUACGGGAGGCAGCAGUAGGGAAUCUUCCGCAAUGGGCGAAAGCCUGACGGAGCAACGCCGCGUGAGUGAUGAAGGUCUUCGGAUCGUAAAACUCUGUUAUUAGGGAAGAGCAAAUGUGUAAGUAACUAUGCACGUCUUGACGGUACCUAAUCAGAAAGCCACGGCUAACUACGUG
Molecule: ribosomal RNA, 497 nt
Filed under: uncultured bacterium
Lineage: Bacteria
Description: partial 16S ribosomal RNA
Rfam family: Bacterial small subunit ribosomal RNA
Source: RNAcentral